GAGAGGGUGAGCUGGGUUGCCAUAUUUCUGUUGACAGUUUUUUUUCUUUGAUCACUGUGAUCAUUUUAGUCAUCAGUUUUGUGCACGCUAUCAUGAGUUGAUCAACUUUUUGUGAAAAAUAUUUAUUGGAUAUCAGUGAUUUUUUUGCUCUAGUGCGUCAGACAAGUCUACUAAGCCAAAACCCAGCGACUCAGCAGCUUUUUGAUUCUGUGAAGUCGCUCCAAUAAAUAUAAAAGGAUCCUCUCUCACUGUAUGGUGUGUGAAAAGUGUUUUACCAGAAACAUCACAGCAGGUAAAGGUGUGUUCCUGCGGAUGUGAAUCAUGGAGAAGAUAUGAGGCCAGUGUCCUUCUCUGGCCCCCACAAACAGCAUCCUACAACACAAAAAAUGACCUACAAUCAGCAUCUAAGCUGCCAUUCUCAACUGGAAACAGGAGAACAUGAACCAAUCUGGGCUUAGAUUACCUGGGAGCCCCAAAGAAGCCACCAUUGAGGGCUCCAAGGCAAGACAGGGACACCAGAAUAGGAAUCACUGAUGACAAUCCCUGGAGAGCACGGUUUGCAAAUGUCUGCAGAAGAAUAAAAGCUUAAUAAGACCAACAUUUAAACUUUUAGUACCCUCAUAACUCAUAUGGUUUCCCUUUGAAAUGCCCAGUACCGACCACAGCUACAGCUUCUGAGAGCAGCAGCUCAGCAGGAGUCAUCAUGGUGUAGUAGGCCACAUUAACGAGCACAUAAAAGAUUGUCACUGCCACCAUGGAGCAGAUUAUUGCCAGCGGGAUGUUUCUGACAGGACAGGACACAUGCAGAGAAUGAUAUUUCAAGACAACCCGGCUUGUAAAAUGAUAUUAGAGUGGGGAGUAAAUGUCAGAUUAAAAUACCUGUUUGGGUUUAUGACUUCUUCUGUGACAAAGUUCAAAUAAAACCUGGAGGAAAAAUGGAAAUUACA
This is a long non-coding RNA of Notolabrus celidotus (New Zealand spotty), 947 nucleotides long. RefSeq lists it as uncharacterized. The record is from RefSeq and is a predicted model, not a curated record. The transcript has 2 exons. NCBI's taxonomy places the organism in Eukaryota, Metazoa, Chordata, Actinopteri, Labriformes, Labridae.